This 600-nucleotide ribosomal RNA is filed under the name uncultured bacterium. RNAcentral's name for it is "bacterial SSU rRNA". It matches the Rfam family "Bacterial small subunit ribosomal RNA", at positions 506 to 1105 of the family's 1533-position model. The record is from RNAcentral.
UGCCAGCAGCCGCGGUAAUCCCCGAGGGAGCGAGCGUUAAUCGGAAUAACUGGGCGUAAAGGGCACGCAGGCGGACUUUUAAGUGAGGUGUGAAAGCCCCGGGCUUAACCUGGGAAUUGCAUUUCAGACUGGGAGUCUAGAGUACUUUAGGGAGGGGUAGAACUCCACGUGUAGCGGUGAAAUGCGUAGAGAUGUGGAGGAAUACCGAAGGCGAAGGCAGCCCCUUGGGAAUGUACUGACGCUCAUGUGCGAAAGCGUGGGGAGCAAACAGGAUUAGAUACCCUGGUAGUCCACGCUGUAAACGAUGUCGAUUUGGGGGUUGAACUUUAGGUUUGGCGCCCGUAGCUAACGUGAUAAAUCGACCGCCUGGGGAGUACGGCCGCAAGGUUAAAACUCAAAUGAAUUGACGGGGGCCCGCACAAGCGGUGGAGCAUGUGGUUUAAUUCGAUGCAACGCGAAGAACCUUACCUACUCUUGACAUCCAGAGAACAUUCCAGAGAUGGAUUGGUGCCUUCGGGAACUCUGAGACAGGUGCUGCAUGGCUGUCGUCAGCUCGUGUUGUGAAAAUGUUGGGUUAAGUCCCGCAACGAGCGCAACCCU